Molecule: non-coding RNA, 564 nt
Organism: Carassius auratus (goldfish)
Lineage: Eukaryota; Metazoa; Chordata; Actinopteri; Cypriniformes; Cyprinidae
Source: the annotation of a RefSeq genome assembly
CUUGACUCUUAAAGUCAUUGUCUCUCAUUAGUGCAGAUGUUGCUCUUCACAUUCAUUAUAUUUUCUCUUCUAAAAGAAACUGCUGGUGAAGAUGUCAUAAAACCAGUCGUCACAGAGAAGCAUGUUUUGGAAGGAAAAGAUGUUACACUGAUCUGCAAAUACACUGAAACUGUCAAGAAUUUACAAUGGUAUCGUCAGUAUCCCGGAUCCAAACCUGAGAACCUCAUCACGUUCUAUGAGACCACUCCACAUAAAGAGACCACUCUCCGUCUGAACGCUGCGGCUGAUAAAACAGCCAAAAGUAUGAAUUUGACGAUCUCUUCUACAGAAGUGACAGACUCUGCCAUGUACUACUGUGCCCUGGUGCCCACAGUGACAGGAAACACAAGAACACUGUACAAAAAACGUUAGAAAUGAACUUCAAGAAGAAAAAGAAGAUCCUCAUUUUAAAAACUAUUUCUGUAACCAUUAGAAAGGAUUUGUGAACAAUACACAGUUAUAAAACUCUGGAGCAAAAGUAAUUAAACUAUAUUAUUUGAUAAAUAAAAAAGUUAAUUCACACAA